This is a long non-coding RNA of Bactrocera dorsalis (oriental fruit fly), 18616 nucleotides long. RefSeq lists it as uncharacterized. The transcript is spliced from 5 exons. NCBI's taxonomy places the organism in Eukaryota, Metazoa, Arthropoda, Insecta, Diptera, Tephritidae. The record is from RefSeq and is a predicted model, not a curated record.
UAUAUGGUAGGAAUAUUUAAGGUGUUCAUAUAUUAAAAGACAAUAACUGGAAUUGGAAUUUUUUGUUUAUAUUCGAUAAGUUUCUUCAGUGUGAUAAUUUAUAAGCAUAUUAUGGUAAUUGUGUGCAAUAUAUUUAUUUAAUGGUUAGCAAGUUUUAAAGUAUUAUUAUGGCUUACUUUAAUUUUCUAAUUGAAAUAUUCAAUUUAUUGAGCUUCUGUCAUACAAAUACUUAUGUUUCACUACAUUCUCGUCGCCACCACUGUAUUAGCCAACAAAAAUCAGUUCUACCGGCAUUCCGUUCGAACUCAAACAUCGGACACGAGCAUUUCGGCCGAACAUUGCAACGCAACAUCUAACAACGAACUUGUGCUAAGCGAACAUCGAACUCAUUGUUGGAUCCCAUCUGCAACGAACAUUUCUCAAAAUUCUCGCCAUUCAAACGCUAUACGUACCCGGGUUGUCGGACUGUUCGGACGUGCGCAGUAGUUAAGGGGGUGUUUAACGCGAGUUAACCGAAUAAAUACAGUGGAGAAAAAAGAAAUAGAGCUAACAAAAUAAAAAAAGAAAUACCGUGCAAUAGUCAUAGCAAGCAAAUGAAGAGCCGCAAGCGCUGUGAGACGCGCAAAGUUCAUAAUUAAACGCAAGUGGAGAAGCAAAGAAAAAUAUUAGUGUUAAGAAAAGAAAAAUAAAUGAAAUAAGCAACAACAGAAUCAAUGCAUGGAAUAUAAGCGAGGAAACACGAAGUGAGUAAAUAAAAUCAAAGAAGCGCAGCGACGUGCGUUUGCUAGUGAAGUACUAAACACAAAACGACGACCAGACGACAAACGAGAGUACGAAAGUGAAAUGAAAACAAAACAACGCAUGUACACAAAACAACGCAGCUGUCCAUUUUGCAUGUACACAAUUUCGUUGUGGCCAUACUAAUACCUUGCACUUCAAUGAAAUUUUAAUAUUUUGUUAAAAGUUAAAUUUUUUAUGCAAAAAAUAAGUAAAUAGGUAUACAUUUUUGUUUUAAAUUAUCAAUUGUUAUUACAAAUGAUAAAAUAGAGCUAUUUUAUGCUUUUAUUUGUAAAAUAACGUCAAAGUUUGUAAGAGCUGUGAAUAAUUUUAUAUUUUACAUAUUAGUGGCAUCACCACUCUUCCUCAUCUCUCUUCUUGACAACUGUCGGCCUACAGUCGUGUUUUCGUGUCGUUGUCAAAAUAAGUGUCCAUAAGAACGUGUGUAAUAUUUGACAGAUGUCGUUUGUCGACCUGUCGUCGUUUUGUGUUUACAGCUUGAAGAUUGUGUUUUGUGUUUGAAGGCGAGAGAAAAAUAAAAGUUCAGAAGCCAUUGAGAAAAAAAUUAUGUGUUUUAUAUUUAUUAUUGAUUUAAAGUGUGUUGCUAUUAAAGGUGCAGAGUUCAGCGCAAAUGAAAUUUUGUGUGAAUUAAUAAUUUCAUGUUACAGCACGGUAUUUUGUAAAAUUUUUUGUGGCUGUAGUUCACAUUUUUUUGCAAAUUGCAGCAGUGUGCUCAGUGUUGGCAGCGGUUUGACCAGCUUCUUUGGCCCUAAACCUUUUGUGUUUUUGUUAGCGCGUUGUGUUGUUGCGGUCUAGUGUACGAUUAUGUCACUUUUUUCUUAAGCGUUUGCAGUGUUCUUACGAGCGAGCGCCUAAUAAUAAUCAAAGCAGGCAAGAGAAUACAAAUAAAAUACUAAAGAUAUAGCAAGCGAUUAAUGAUUGCGCGUUGUAAGAAAAGUGAAAACAAUAACAAAAUCAAUGAAAACACACAAGCGUUGUUGCUAACAAGCGUUUAUUAGCUGCAAGUAGUCGUAUAAAUUUUGUGUGUUUGUAAAAGUGAUUGAAUGUCUAUGCGCAAAGUGGGAACAAGUGAAUCACAACAAAAAUCAGCUGCUGAUCAAUAAAGACAUCAGGUAUAUCGUCGCGCGCUAUUUAUAGCGUUGGUCAGGAAGGCCGGCAAAAUUAAGCAUUCUAUUAAGAUUUUGUAAGCGUUUCGCUUAAUGUGUCAUUUCGCACAUUAAACGCGAGAGCACACAAGCAACGACGCGCGUUCAUAUACAGUUCAAAAUAUCUAACACGUCGCGCGGUUAGCCAAAGAAACGUGCCAAACAAACUGCUAAAAUAAUAGCAAAACUCUCGUAAAAGAGCAAUCAGUCAACAGCGCUACGAUCAAGUGCCAAUAAAUAGAAAGAAAGGUGACCGCGCUGUUUGUUUACCGUUCGUACGCUUGAGCGCUGAUUACGCCGUCUGCAGACGCGCCGCAACGCGUUCCGCUGCAUCGUUUACCUGUGUCGCCUACUAACAAUCAUUCAAGAAAAUAAACAUAUGAACGAAUUGGUAACCUGGUAACGCGCGUUCUUCGCUUUUGUAUCUUCUGCCCGGUUUAUCGCUUGUAUUAGUCUUGUUUUAGUCGUCGAACGCUUUGCUCAAAUGGAAGUAGACGCAUACGUAAUAAAUAAACUCGUGUGUGCGUGCGGUAAGAUAACACGGUAGAAAGACAGAAAGUGUUAAGAGCGCAGCGCGACAGGCGCCUUCCUAAAAGCUUGAGCGCUUGGUCAAUUGGACGUGCACGAUUUACGCGCAGUUGUGUGAGACGCGAUUAUAAGGACAAGCAAAUUAAAGACGAUAGCUUCGAAUAUGAUUUUCUAUGUAAAAAAUUACUCUUAAUUUUCCAAGGCGGUGAAAAUUGUGAUUUUUCCCGAGCAGAUAACGCUUUGGCUCUCACACGUACACUAGGCGCAUUGCCGCACAGUGACCGUUUCAGCUAAAUUUAUCUUCACUAUUGACAAGUGUGUGCGGAAGCGUUUCGAAUGUAUCACACAACGCGACAACCUGUCAGCAGCGUGACUUUCAUUCUUAGCCAAGCGCUUGCAUUAAGAGGCAGUCAGCUGUUUAGGUAAAGACACACGUACCUAUGCUUAUAUAAAGAGGAGAGCAACAAAGUGUGUGGCGACUAAAAAUAAACCAAAAGAAAAUAGAUAAUCGAAAGAAAGUGAGGCGAAGUGAAAAAAAAAAUACUUGGCCCUGAUUUAUGCCACAAUUAGUGGCGAACUGCGCCGGCUUAUAUGUAUAAAAAGUGUUGACAAUAACACAACGCUUAAACACAUUUGUGAGACGUGCAACCCCAGUUUUGUGCUAUGUUUUCAAUAAUCGGUGUAAUUAUUUGCAUAGUGUUAUAUCAAAGCGAAGUUGCCGACGACAUUAUAACAACAAUAUACAUAAUUAAUAACAACAACCAAAAAUAAAAAAAAAUUACAGCAACAAACAUAAUAAUUAAAGCGCAUUAAAAACACUUAAAUAUCGCCUGUCAGGCGUUUAUAACACGCAUUAAGCCAUAUUAAGCGCUCUAAAGCCAUACAAAAACAACAACAAUAAGGAAUCAAAAAGUGUGCGUACCAAAUUUGUUUUUAUCCUACACAUACACACUUACACGCUCUAUUAUGGCUCACGCCGUCGAAAUGGCCGGCAAACGGAAUGCCACAAAGCCAAUAACAGCGGCAGCAGCGCAUAAAAAACAACAACUACGUCGACUAUUUCUGCUGUUGCAAGUUUGCAUUGCUGUUUUAGUGGCCAGCAGUUGUUUGGCAUUGCCCUCGGCGGCCGACGCCAAACAUCUCGAUGGUCAUCAUUUUUAUGUUCAUCAUGAGCAACAACAACAACAGCAUGCACAUCACAGGCGCCGCCUGCAGCGCGAUUCGACCAGUAAAAUUUUGAACACUUGCGAACAGUGUACCAGGAUUACUUCGAGACGAUCAACAUUAAGCUGAGUGGCAACUUUGAGGAAAAGAACAUUUCCUAGUGCUAAAGGAAUAAUCAGAAAAUAAUACCCUGACGGUCUUUUCAUACAUAAGUGCAUCGAGGCAUGGUAUCACAACCGAGCGAAUUGAUCCGCCGAUUCAGAAAACAUGAUGCAUUUUGAAAAUGGACACGGCAACAGCAUCAACUGUGGCCAUUCCGGAAGAUGCCAUUCAAAAAUUUCUUGUGAAUCUCUCCGUUCGCCUAUCACUUGAUUUCCAGUCGCUGCACAUCAGCAAGGAAGAUUACGGAUUACAUGAAUUGCUUGAAGAAUCCAUUGAACGAUAUACAGUCGUUGGACAGGAGAUCAAAGGAAAUCAACUCUUCAUAAAUUAAUUGUAAAAGAGCGCUAAACUGGUCAGUUGUAGAUAUAAGAAAGAAUGUAUAAAUUAGAGAUGAUGUAACAGUAGCAAAUUAGAUAUAACAGAGAACAUUUAUAUUAGAGAAGAUUCUAUUGCGGACCAGCGUAUAAAUUUUCAAAAGUUAAGAAAAUGUGAUGAGCAUAUUUCAGCCUCGCGAACAUAAAUGAGCAUUGAUGAAUGAGCAUAGUGCACAGAAACUUACUUUGAUAUUACAGCCGUGUCCUUUGGCUUACAUUUUUGUACGUUUAUAUUCAAUCAUACCAAUUGGUAUGAAUAUCAUUGGGAGAAUUUUUAUGAAAGCGAGUAUACUCGUACUUUGCGUGGUUUGCAGAAGGUUAUUUUUUAAGAAUUGCUACGGACGCUAUUUAAUUCUAGUGAGUUACUACGUAUAAUUUUCUUUUAUUUCUUAUUCCUUUAUACAAUAUUUUGCUUAGGCCUAAAUAAAAAAAAAUCAGCUUGCAUUCUAGGAAGCGCAAAAUUUAGGUAUGAGUGCUUCCUAAUUCUACAUACAAGAUUUAUUUAUGUAUUCUUUCAAUGUGUCGUUUAUAAGUCUUUGAAAUUUUUCAACCCCAAGGCAUUCGGAAGUAUUCAUAUAGUCCUUCCGGUGUAACAAACGCUGUUUUCUCGAUAACCCUUUCUGCCAUUAAAAUCUGGUGGUAACCUUUUGCUAAAUCUUUUGUGAUAAAGUACUGUGCUUUGCCCAAUUUAUCCAAGAUUCCUUCGAUAUUUGGUAAAGGAUACUUAUCGUCUACAGUUAUAUUAUUUAAUUUCCUAUAAUCAACUACCAGCCUGAAUUUCUCAAUUCCUGAAUUAUCUAUCUUUUAUGGUAUUAUUAAGAUUUAUAAGCUUUAUCUACUGUGACUUUUCUAAUUAUUUCUUGCUAUUCUAAUUCACACAUUUGUUGUCUUACUACUAUUUUCCGAGCUUCUUUGCUGUCUCGAGCAAUUAAAAAAGUUUUGACUUACUUCAAUUUGUCUUGAAUAAAUUGGAUGACUUUGCCCCAUUGGCUGUCUUGUUUGGUUAUAUUAUUGUCCAUGGGAGCUCAUUUGACGUUAUACAGAUUGUGAACGAUACUUUUGACCAGAGGAAUUUUCGUCUUGUGGACGAUAUCGUCCUGUAAAACUUUGAUUUUGUUGUUGACGAUAUUGCCCUGAAACUACCAGAGCUGUCAUCUAGAAUUCGAGGGUACCUAUGUCCCUUUAAUCCGAAUAAUGCAUCAUGAGGCAUUUGCGGAUUUGACUCCAUUCAAGUGGAGUUUUGUACGACUCCAAUGCGUUGUCGGCAACGACAAUUAUUUUAUGCAUGGUCGUAUGGAAUGUCACGAAGUACUUAUGAGUAUUCUUGACCCCCUAUUACGCUUUGAAAAUUAUGUCAACGCUUUUCCUCCAGGAUUAAAAUUCUUCUGGUCGUGCCAAAAACUUUCUAAGCCAUUUAACCAUGUCCGGAAUCCUGUCUAAUUCAUUUAUAUUAUUUGCGUUCAGUGUAAUGCUGUGGUCGGGUUCAGUAAAGUCAGUUAUAGUCUGCUUAUCCUUUCAAUCAAGCACUUCUCGAGAAAUUGUCGUUAUUAGAGUGUGGUUAGGGGUGGGAGGGUUUAUGGAAGGGUGGAACGUUUUGAAAGAUGGGUGGUUUGCCCAUAAUCUAACCUCAUCUGGAUUAAUUGUUCGAUCAAUUUUUCAACAGUAUCUUUCAAUAAUUAAAUUUCUUUUUCUUUGUAAUAACAAUAUUUUCUUUAAUAAUAUUAAAAUAUCUACAGUAGUGGUUUCCAGCUUUACGUAAGAUAUUUCAUGACGUUCCGGGGUUGUCCUUUUCUCUGAUGAUACUGGGGUCCCCCGACGCUGGUAAAUCCCACGUGGUAUUGCGUUGUAGCCGCUCGUCAGCAUAGUAUUUAUUAUUUCUUUCUCACACGCGUAGCCUUAUUUUUUUCUUUUAGGACUUUUUUCGCGUUUGUGUGUUUCCGUAGUCUUACUGUUUGAUUUUCAGGCUGUUAAUUACUUUUGCGCGCUGGUCCCGGCUCGGGCGCCUGUUAAAAAACUUUUAUUUAAUUUCUUAUAAAGAAAUAUUUUUGGGAGCUAUUCUUCUUUAUUGAAUUCUGUCUUAGAAAUAAAAUUUGCUAUUAAUUACACUUAAUUCUAAACGUAGGUAGGUGCCGUUGAAACGGGUAUGGAGUUUGCUGACGCUGCUCUUCCCAUAGGUUGCCACUACACGUGUCGCACUCUCAGCUAUUUAGUUAGUGUCGUAUUCUAUUACUUUGUAUCAUAAGAUAUUAAUGCAUCAUAUGAUACUUUUUAAAUGCGUGAUGUGCUAACUUGCAUAAAUAAUUAUGGCGUAGUUUUCAAUAACUUCCUGUAGUACCCAAUUGUUCCAAAAAAUCCUCUAAGUUGCCGUUGCGUCUUGGAAUUUGAAGAAUUCUUUAUCCUUUCUAUUUUUUUAAGACCCCUUUUUAUUACUUUAUGGGGUACAGCAUAUCCAAAAAAUUCAAUUUCGGCUGCUAUAAACAUUGAAUUUUCCAUGGAAAUUUUCAUAUGAGCUUUUUAAAGUGUUCGUACUAAAUAUUUAAAAUGAAAUAUAUGUAGGAGACUCAUUUGAAUUCAUCUCCUUUAUUUUAAUUCACUUCACUUCACUUCACUUUACUACUAGUAGUUUAUUUUUAUUUUAAAGAAGCACAGUGAGUUCCGAUCGUCUCAAUGCCGCUUUCUCAACUGAACUCUACUUGAGCGAGCACAGCGCUCAAUGACCACGCAUUCCUUUCAUACUUAAAACACAUAACGGUUCCAUAACAGUUGUGUUCUUUCUUAGUUCGCGGAAUACGAUCGGACCUCACUCAGUAACAGUAUCUCUAUCCUGUUACUAUGCUUAUUUGCGCAUUUGCAAGACAAAGUACCGCAAUAUAUGCCGCCUAUGCGUCGCCUGCGCCGAGCCUGACGCUCUGGCACAUACGCUUACUUACAAAAUAUUAGCACUACAAAAUACGCAUCUACAGUGACAUACAAAAUACAAGCAUAAGCGCUCCGACAUAUAUGUUAGUUUUAUGCUUCCGAGUAUACUAUAAUAUCGUCAAUAUAGACGUAAGAAAAAAUUCCGAUACAUUCGUGUAGAAUAUUGUUCAUUGCUAGCUGAAAUAUAAAUUAUUCCUCAGCUCUAUGUGCUGUUGUCCAGGAAAUACAAUCACAGCUAACUUUUCCAAUCAAAUAAUUUUUAUUAAGCACUAUAUGCUUUUGUUCAAAUCUGGCUUAAGACUAAAACCUAAAAAUAUGAGCCCUGCCUGAUUCCCUACACUUGGCACAAUUUCGGCAUUUCUGCUGCUACUGUACCUGAUACUGUUGUUGUUGUUUACCUGCACUUGCUGUCGUUUAGACAACAGGUGAAUCGCUGCUACUGCGCUGAUAUUUUAGUAGCGAAGAAUUUGCCAGUUGAUGAGAAAAUGGUGACGCGGACUAUUCCCACGCUUACUGACUGGCGUGGAGUAGUUCUAAGAACGCUACUGUGGGCAGACUAGCAGACUAAUGUGUUAACUGCCCCCUUCUAAAUCGCGGCCGUCCGCGGCCGCUUUCAAGAUCUUAGCUACCGCUUCCUUCUUGUAAUUUGUGUCCUUUAUGCGUUUUUUCGUUCUAUGUAUCCAAAAUACUAAUGCUGCACCUAUAAUGAUAGCAACGGCCAGUAUCACUAAUCUGGUUAGUCGGAUGCCGUUCAUACUUGGCUUCUUUACAAAUUAUGCAGUUGGCAGUAAUUUCCUUUAAUUUCUUCUGCAUAAUUGGAAAAUAGUAGUCGUUCAAUACCUGUUUAAUGUUAUCUCGGAUAGAGCGAUGUGCUCUACUAUGUUCCAAAUUUUUAAAUGUAUAGUAAUUUGAUGCCUUAUCCUUAACUUGUAAAUAAUUCUUGUCUUCUUAGUUGUGACAUUUCCUUCUUCAAGAAUUAAAAUUCGAAAUUAAUUAAAAGGGUUCUCUACUUUUGGAAUAACUUAUGUUAGAAAUUCUGCACUAUGCAUAGUAACUGGUGAGGAUUCCCGCUCUAUUGCAUUAAUGUGCUGUCGUGACAAUGCAUGGGCAACAAGAUUAUCUUCACCGGAUUUAUAAUGAAAUUGAGGUGAAAACUCUUCCACAAAUGCUCGGCAGUGUUCUAUUUUCGUUUCUUAUCCAAGACAGCGAAGGUCAAAGGCUGAUGAUCGGUAAAAAUAUUCAGCUGUUUUACUCCGUGCAAAUAGCUUCGCAGCUUCUGAAGUGCCAACACUAUUGCUAAAAGCUCUCUUUUAUUGGUAGUAUAAUUCUCUUCUGCUGCCGAUAACUUUCUGGAAAUCAUGGUUAUCGGCCUAUUGCCUUGAGAUAAUACCACCCCAAUAGCGUGUGCUGAAGCGUCAGUUGUUAAGUCAAAGGGUUUAUUGUGAUCAGGAUAUAGCAGAAGUACGUCCUCAGAAGAUAAAAUUCUUUCAACUUUUUCGAAAUCCAUCAACGCAUCGUUGUCGAACUCAAUUCUAACAUUUUUUGAUCGAUUCGUUCCCACAUGAUCAUUUUCUUCCCUUAAGUAUGUUGUGAGAGGCUUUACUAUGGAGGCAUAAUCUUUCAUAAACUUGUAGAAUAUCGACUGCCACAUAUUAACUUCGUGUGAUAUUCGCUGUUUUAGUGUUAUAUUUACACAUGUUUUGACAAAAAUAAAAAAUUGUUCUAUUUUAAAACCGAAACAAAAAUUGGGUUCUUUUGCGAAAGCCGAUUGCGCCAGUUACGAUUUCUGUUAUUUUACAGAAAAUGUAUUUUAGUUGAAUACAAAAAUACCCCGAUUUCCAGUACCGAGCGGUUUGUCGUCUUUAUUACUAAUCUUAAUUAUAACAUGACUUAAUUCUAAGCUUAAAGCUAGCGCCUCUUGUUACAGCUAUUCCAUGAAACGUUUGCAAGUUUUCUCUCUAAGCAAUGGGAAGAUUAAAACAAAUAAUUUUUUUUUUCCUUUGAUUCAAGCUUCUUUCUCUAUUGAAGGCAACUCGAAUACAAACAGCUUUUUACAAUUAAACAUUACUUCUAUUUAUACAAAAUUUAUAACUUAAUUCUAUAUUACUUGUUGUUGCAAUUUUGUCACCUGAGUCAAUUUGCUGAUAAGCGAAAGUCUGUCAAUGGAAGUGUAUUUCCGCAAAUGUACUAAUUUAAGUAAAAUUGGCGAUUUCUUAAUAAAAGUUAUGCUCGCGCAUGCAGAGUCAAUUCUUAUUAAUUUAUAUGUUUUUGCUUAAGUCAGUUUGGAAACGGAAUUGAUUUUAUGAAAUUUUUGAGUUUAGGGUGUUAAGUCCUCCCCUUUUAAGUUCGAUCGUCCUCGGUCGAUUAACAGUAAGGUAAGUUGUUGAAACUGAUGGCUUUUUGAAGUGGAUUUUCUGUUUCCAAUAUAUUUGUCGUCAAAUAUUUUAUAUUAACGGGCGUUUCUGUUUUAUGCGAUAUUUCGUGUACAACAACAUUUUCUGUGCUUUUCUUCCAAAAUAAGAAAAAGAUCAUGAUUGGUAUCAAGGCUAUGCCGAUCCCAAGUUAGGAGAAUUUAUUUAUUAUUGCAUCCAUUUUUAAGUAAUUGAUAGUUUUGGUGUUGUUGAUAUGCAGUUAGUUUAAAGAUUCCACAGAGAGUAUAUUUAAACGUUCACUCUCUGAUGGCGCUGGCUGCCAUGGAACUACUUCUAAUGUAGGCGCUUCAAUAUUCGGAAAAUAUUUGUUACCUAUUUUAAGUGAUGUGUUGUGGAACUUAAUAAGGAAAGUACCAACUAUUCUGUGGUUUCCUUAUCGGUAUUUAUUAUACCACUAAAAUCGUUUAAAAGUAAUAAGCUUGGUUGCAACUCUUCAAUCAUCGGAAUAUGACCAUUGCUUAUUACGCAUUAUUAAUUUAUCCCAGCAGGGACGAUAACUAUUUUUUUUAGUAGGAAGAUGAAAUUUUGAGGGCUUGUUAAUGUUGUUAGAAUGUAUUAAAAAAAUUAAUUUUUGUGGUCAUACUUUAUCAGAUAACUGUACAAUGACCUGUGACCAUAUGGUAGCGCUAGGACCUACAGGGUACACGUUUACAUUUACCUUAAAAAUGUAAUGUGCUAUAAGAAAAUAAGUUAAUUAAGUAAUGUGAAUAAAAUAAUGAACUUUAUUUAAAUAGUUAAAAAAACAUAUUUAUUUUUGGUUUUCGUUGUCAAUAUGGUACUGAGCGAAGCACUUGACGCAUAAACCUACAUUGCAUUUAAUGCAUCGAGUUCUCACAACACUUUUACAAGUUUCAUCUAAGCAGCGACGUCUAUUUAUGAUUGGUUCAAUAAAAUGAUCAGUGUGAUCAAAGCGGAUGUUUCCAUAUACGCCAUCGUGCAGCCGGGGUCGUUUCGGGCCAGGUUGAACCGGCGGUUCGCCGUAAUGUUUGCAAUAAAAUACUGCAAUUUCACGUUUAAAUUCUAAUUGCGAAAGCUUCUUCGAACUCUGUAGAAGGUGCCAAGCAUUGGAUACUGCAACGUCAAUAAGCCAAGUAAAUAUUAAAGACCACCACAUUUUUCCCCGCUAUGCUAUUCGGUACAUAUUUACGUUUUGAUCGAGCCUAUCAACACCGCACAUGUAUUUAUUAUACUCCGUUAUCACGCAUGGACGUGGAAUGGCGAUAUUUUUCUCAGCUUUUUUGCAGUAUCGCGAAGCUGAUGAAAUUGGCGAGCUACCGUAACAAGUUGAAGCGGCACACACAACAGAGUUAUCAACCCACUUAGGCAGCUUUAUUCCAAUAUUUUCUAUUGUAGCAGUUUCGAAUGAACCUCUAUUAAACUUUUUCAUUGCCACUUUUGUUUUCAAAGGGCAGCUGGAAGGAAUACGAUUUUCUCUUACCGUUCCUGUUCCAUUGUACCCCAUCGUCUUCAGAUAAGUCAGUAAUGGAAAACUUGUAAAAAGGUUGUCGAAAUAGAAAGAAAAUGGUAAACUCCUUGUGUUUUCGUCAAAUUCAUUUAUCAUGUUUAUGAGAGGUGCUGCACACUUUCCAAAGCACUGUUCGUAUUCCGUGUUUGAACGUGGAUUUCUUCCUUGCUAUUUGUCGAAAUUGAAUAGGUAUCCGGACGGAGUGCAUAAAGACCAAACUUUGUAGCCGAAACGGAUAGGUUUGCCUUUUAGAAACUGCUUGCAUCCGUGGCGACCGUGGUACGCAAUCAUACUCUCAUCGAAAGACAGUUGUUGGCAUGGAUGGAAGUGCUUCAACAUAUUGGCCUUUAAAUGGUCUGUCAUAGGUCUCAACUUCCAAAAUUUGUCUUCAUUAUCAUUAGGCGCAACCAGGUUAGGUUCAAAAUGUAAGCACCUACUAAUUUCUUUAAAACGGUCUCGACGCAUGGCUUGUACAAUUAGUUCGUUGCGUAAGUUCUCUGAGCUGUUCCAAUACAUCUUCACAUUAGCAGCGGUGUUGUAGCCGGAUAUUAAAAGUAUACCAAUGAAUGUACGCAAUUCUGUAAAAAUGUAAAUACGUAUUAAAAGUCAAGAGGAAAAAGUGUAUAAAGUUACUAACUCACCACGAAUAUUGAUAUUCAACACAGGUUUUUCAAAUUUCUUUGUGGCAUACAAUAAUGAACAUUGCACGAUAUGCUCUAAUAAAGCGUCAUCAAAAAAAAAUUCAAACAACUCGUGAGGCUGCAAGCCACGACAAUCAUUGUAGUUUGCUUCCGGAAAUAAAAGCAUUGGAUCAUUUCUACAAUCCUUCGACCAAUUAAACACAGUGUCCUUAUUUGCUAACGGAAGAGGUUUUUCAGACGGGGUACCUUUUACUCUUCUUAACCUGCUGGAUACAGGCGCUAUGUGAAUAUUUUCAUCUGAUAGCUGUCGUUGUUUCUUCCUUCUGUACUUUCCUUGGUGGUCUGUGCGCUUAUGGACUGUGGGCAGGUUGAUUUCACAUACUCGUAAAACUGCUGUUCUACAUUAUAAGAUCCAUCACCUAAUAGAUCCGCUAGAGCUGCUUCAAUAUUUCCCUCUACGUCACAUGAGUCCACCAUUGAGGCAGAAUCUACAUGCGCACCAUUUUUAAGCACAAGUUCACACCCUUCGUUCAAUUGAUUUCGACACACAUUGUCAAUAAUUCCACCGUCAUCUUCGUUAGCAUCGUCUUCGCCACUUAGUUCUCGCCAACCUCUCGCUUCGGCUUCCGAAAUGAGUUGCAGUUGAAACAUCUGACACUAGUGCGAGGCAUCUGCAUUGAGUCAUGUUGCAAUUCAACUCUCCAGAACGCCUGCAGAAGCUGCACUCUUGCAGUGUAGUAUUGGAUAUAUACCUGAGUCCGUAACUGCUCGUCCGGCAUACCCUCGACAAUAUGGUCAAUCAACUCGCAUUCAUCCAUAUUCAACGGACCUGACAGUGAAACCUUUUCAUUGUAGUACUUUUGGAAGCCUUCACCAAUCGACCACUUGCGCGCUUCAAACUGUUUUCGCAGCAACAACUUGUUGUGUGUUGGUGCAAACACCGCUUGCAUUUCUGCAACAAGGCUGUCUAUAUUUUCUGUUAUAAACAGAGGCCUCGCGUGCAGCCACAGGCCGACUUCCUAAACGCAAGUUGCGAUGCAUAACUCGAAAAAAUGCGUAUGAAAUGCAAAGCUGAUUUUCAACGCAACUCUGCGUUGCAAAUAAAUGCUUUGCAUAUAAAUGACGUUUAGGAACGUCAUCGUGAAACUCAUACAUAAGUAAAACAUAUGUCAAAUAAUGACUGUUAUUAGAAAUAACGAAAUUUUGAGUUAAUAUGGACGAGAGAAGAAAUUAUUCAUUAUUUUUAUUAGCAAAUGCUGAAGAAUUAGCUUUACUACUGCAGCUCAAAAAAAGAUCGCUGAUGGGUUUUCUCAACGUCGCCACAAUAUAUUUCCUUUUGUAUUAGGAUGCAUUGAUGGAACGCACAUUCCCAUAUCACAACCAAAAAAUGAUGCAAUAAGUUUCUAUAACAGAAAAAGGACGUUUUCCAUCAUUGCACAGGCCAUUGUUGACAGCGAUAUGAAAUUUCUGGACGUCUUUGUCGGCUGUCCCGGACGAUGUCAUGACGCAUCAGUGUGGCAAAGGAGCCCAUUUCGUAGAGCACUAGUAAGCGGUGAAUUAAAAAUUCCACCAAAUCACCACUUCUUAGGCGACGCAGCUUAUCCGCUAGAAACGUUUCUCAUGGUGCCAUAUCGGGAUAAUGGUUUUUUAACAUCGCAGCAGAGCAAAUUUAACACUAUUUUAAGCACUAACCGAGUUUUUGUUGAACAGGCGUUCGGGAUAUUAAAACAAAAGUUCAGAAUUUUAAAAUUCAUUGGUGUACAGCUCGCUCAUAUUCCAAAAAUUAUUGUAUUAACGUGCAUGAUAAUACAUAACGUGAUUAUAAUCAAUGAAGGUCAGCAAAACAUUGAUUGCAUAGAAUUGGACGAAGAGGAGGCCCAAACAUCUGAAGUUAGUGUUCCAUCAUUGCAAAGAGAUGAAGCCCAAUAAAAACGAAAUGCCCUGGCAGUGUUGUUUUCAAGUUGAAUUAAACGACAAUUCUAGAAUAAAAAAACACAAUUUGAAUAACAUGAACAUAAAUGUAUUUUAUUUCAUAAGAUAGGAACUUUCAAAACUAUAACAUAUAUAUAUCUAUACUAGCUGACCCCGCAGCCGUUGUCCUACGUGAAAUUAUAUGCUUUGAAAUGAAAAGAAAUUUGAAAUGAAAAUUCAUAUUGUGUUGAUAUCAUUUAAUUGAGAUUUUUCUACAUUUUUUUCAAUGUAACGCAGCUUGAUAAACAACAUUUUUUGGUUUCUGUCCCGGUGCGUUAAUGUACAGAGAAGAUGGUUUUCCAACUCGUGUGCACGCCACUUAUAUCUGGCCGUGUGAAAAACAUAGCAUUUUCAAAUUUAUGUCACCCACUAUGCGACUAUCCUGUUGAUCGUCAUCUCAAAUUCAAUUUUCACUGGAAACGGAAUACAUUUGAGCUGAAAUGGCAAAUCGUUAGAACUCAAAGGAAUUCGUACAAUCAAGCAUUCUGCGCCCUUGUUUUCGAUGGGUGCUUCACAAUCAGUCGGGUUUCAUUACACAGUUUCGGUGCAUGAAGAUUGCGAAACAUAAUAAUGACAGGUCCAACUUUGAGACGCACAGGAUGCGGUGGCAUACCAAGCCUCUCCAAAGAAUUUAUAAAUUUCACUGGAUAAUUGACGGCGUCGUCGUCAUUGUCAAGAUGAUCGAUUGAUUUGUAUGAACGCAAGUCUCCCGGAAUUUGACUUUGAAUCUUCCAGUUUAAGUCAUCAACAUCGGUAUUUUUGGCAGCUAACAUUGCGCGUGCACUUAAGGAAUCGUAGUUACGAUAAUUUGGCCAAUGUCCGAACAUUCGUGAUGAGUUCAUCUUUCGUGAAUUGAUAAAGGGAAGAUGGAAUUGAUAUCGAACCACCGGAAGUAUCAACCGUUAUUGUACCAUUUCCAAUUUUUAGCGAAGACGAUGUAAAAUGUCUUUGACAAUCUUUAUAUCGAAAAGUAUGCGAACUUCAUUUUCAUUCCAGUGAUUAACGUGUUCCAGCAUUUGUAAUAUUGCUGGCUUACUUCUCCAAAACUUUCACAUAUUCCCAUAUACCAUUCACAGUAAACAAUGACUCAAAUAAAGUUGAACCGCGUACCUUAAUCAAUAGCAACCGAAGGUAGAAACCAUCGUUGUUUUUCGGGUGGAUUGUGUAAAUUCGUCCUAAUGCAUUAGUUAAUAAGACACCUGGAUGUCAAUCUACUGGUUGGCCUUGCUUUCUGCGUAACUAUUUCUUCGACGAUGCAUCCCAAUUAUAAUAUCAAAGUAUUUCCGAAUGUCCUUGCAAAUGGAUCACUGACGAAAGUUGUGCUUCCUUUGGUCACGUAUUUCCAAACGUAUUUUAUCGAUUUCACCAAACUGCAAUACUAAACACUGAUAUGAGUUUUGAAUGUGAAUUAGACAAUAAUGGUGAAUACAGUACGAUCCAUGUGUUGUCAACUUCGAUAUUCACUCUUCUAAGUUGAAUGCUGAACGUUCUGUUAUCUGGUGAGCGACGCCGAUAGAGUUGAUAUCUACCAUUUCUAGUUUGUGCUUCCGAAAGAAAAGCAGAGUGAAUAGUGUUUCGUGCAUUUAUUGUCAGACAUACAAACCGAAGUGGGAUUGUAAUGUCCGCAAGGUCCAUGAAUCAUAUUAUGGUGUAACCAUCAUCCAAAGAAGAAUGUGUGCAUGCAAAAUAGAGGUUUUUGCCACUCAACAAAGUACAUCUCAUCCAACAGCACCACAUAUACGUUGCUUCAAGAUAAAGACAAUCAAACAUCGUAACUGUUGUAGGAAAAGUCGUGCUGUAACAUCGUGACGAUCACUUGCUGAUUGACCGCGAAUUAUAAUUCCGAACGUAUGUCUCCGCAUCCUGGGAGUACUUCUUGCCUUGCCUUGCCUUGGCCUGCCAUACUUUGUUGGCAAAAAGAACACCGACCGAUAUUAGGUCGACCUCUUGGUGGCUUCGUAACAAAUUUCAAUCUGCAAUUGACCUCUUUGUGUGAAACACACGUAAAGUUUUCACUGAAUAAUUUUCAAUAAUUUUUCUUUUGAAUAGACGAAAAAAAAAGCAAGCGACCGAAAUUGAACGAAUCAAAUAAUUUACAAAUCAAAAUAUUGAAAAACAAAAUAAACAAAAAUUGAAAAAAAAUGUGUAUGGAAAAAAUUUACUUUUUAGAAAUGUCCAAUUUUCCGACUUUUCCUCAUAAUGAUAUAUAUCCAACGAUAUCGCCUUUUACUUUGGCAUCGUUUUGUUUCAUACACGUUUACGCCAAUUUAAGGUUUGAAUAUUGGAUACUGCGAUGGUAGCGCCAUCUAUCGAUCAAACAUUACAAAAUUAAAAAUUGAUUAAAAAUGAAAAAAUAAUUUAAAAAACAUUUUCCAGUGGACCAAAUUGUAAACAUAAACCUUUCCCGAAUCUCCUUGAACGUACAGACAAAAUUUCAUCAAAAUCGGCCCAUCCGUUUAGGAGGAAUCUCAAGGCAAACACACGGUCAGAAGAUUUAUAUAUAUAAAGAUAUUUCUUAUAAUUAUAUAAUAGUGGGUUUUCAAAUAAAGCCCGUAGUUGCUUUAAUUCUUUAAGUUUUUCUUUUUCAACUUCAAGUCUUUCACUUUCUAUUUUUAUAAGCUUAUUUAUAGCUUCGUUUUCCUUUUCGGAUUCUUUCUCUAAGAAUUCGAUUACGUCAUUUCUCUUUCUUUUAACUGAUGUUGUAGGUGUUACAUCCAUUCCGUCAAUUGUUGCUGUGAUGGAAGGACUUUCCAAUGAAAUUAUAGAAUACUCGGUCAUUUCUAGUGGCACUUCAAUACUAGAACGACUCCCAAACACUUCAUCGAUUUCACUAAAAUAUUCCCAAUUUGAUGCUGCUUCGCCAGAAGUACUGUUUCUUUUCUUUAUACGCUUAUAAGUCCCCAUUAUGUUGAGAAAACACCUCGUUAUUUCAUCUCUUGAAAAUGGAAACGAGCUCUCAACGUCCCUCAUUUCCCUUAAAAUCGACUCCCAAAUUAUAUUUCUCUUUCUUUUUUGCCGAAAAAUUCUGCUUCAUGACGAAGCCUUGUUGUUAUUAAUAAUUUCUUCCGCUCGUGUGUCCACUUUUUUUCUCUAUAAUAUAAGAUAAAACGAAAUGAUAACACAAUUUAAAUUAGUUACAAUAAAUAGAAAUUAUUUACUCUGCCAUUGUCUGUUCUGCAUGCCAAAUAAAAUUGAUGCACGCCUUAAACAUCUGAUGCGUUUAAAACUGAGUUGCCAACUAAUUAGGAACAUUAGGCGUUGCCAGAAAAUUCAAGUAUGACUUUAGGAACUAUAUGCAUUGUAAAUAUGCAUUGCAACCUGCGUUUAGGAAGUCGACCACACUCUUGCACUACCUUUUAGUUUGCUUAGCAAUACAGCGCGCCAUGAUCGAGAUUAAAAGCUUUCCCAGCACUUCUUAAUUGUUGAAUCCAAACGUUAAAAUUCGGCCGACCUUCGUAUUCUGGUAACAGAUCUUUUAACAUCUCCAAAGGUACGAGUAUAGCACCGACAUUCCUUACCGUAGCGCUCUCUUUAUUACGUUCGUUUGUUACUGUACCUACUGCGCCGUUGCUGUUCAAAGCGUCAUUAUCGUUUAAAGUGCUGUUGUCGUUGAAAGCGCUGCCGUUGUUCAAUGCGCCGCCGUCGUUCAUAGCGCUGCCAUUAUUCAAAGCGCCACUGCCGUUAUUCAAUGCGCCGCCGCUAUUAUUUGUUGCAUGUUGUAUGAUUGUUUGUUGUAUGUCGCGCUGACAUUCGUUGCGUCGUUAUUUAAAGUACUCGAAGCUCUGCUAUUCGAUGAAUCGUCUUUUUCUGUCACAUCAGUGGCCCCGCCUACACAUUGCUUGAUUUAAGUUGCACGAUCAUUAGCUUUAACUGCUCGACUUUUUUGGUCAGGAGCUCAUUCUGCGUCUUUAAAUCACGUUCCGCUGCCUCCUCCAAAGGUGAUUCAUCAAUGCCCACCGACAAUCGCCACGCUCAAUUGCAGGCACAUCGCCCAACCUUAUUGCCAGGGCACUUUUGUUGCCAUGAGUCGGGAGCCCCAACCGCUUCAACCACUCACGCAACUGGGCCGCCGUAUAUAUGUUUGUAUAGACGCACUCCAAUUUUAUAAAAAAAAAUUCCAAAAAUUUUGUUAAAACUGUACUUUGCUACUGUGCCCGAAUCCCACUUCUGAGAUUUUGUAGGAAGACCGAUUCGUUUCGUGGUUGCGUCCGAACUAACUCUUCUUUAUUUUUUCUCACUUUCAUGUCGCCAGUUACAAGUUUAAAAAUUACAUCAGGGUUGCUUAUUCGAGUAACAUUAAAAUAAGGUAUGAUACAAAUUCAAAAGUAGUACCGUCUUGCUUAUACAAGUAAUAUUAAAAUAAAGCAUAAUACAAAUUAAAAGUACAACAGGAUUGCUUAUUCAAGUAACAUCAAAAUAAGGUAACGAUACAACAUAAUACAGUAAUCACAUUUACAUUGCUACAAUCUUCUUCUUGAAGCUUUCCAUAGCGAUUUUUAUUCCAUUCCAUUUCAUGCCCUUUGAAUGGCAUAUUUAAUGUUGAUUAAUUUUUCUUUUACAGUUCUUAUUCUAUUUCCGAUACUUCAUGCUAAUUCGUUUUCAAUAUGACCACACUUUUUAAUAUAAUAAGAUAUUUCGUUUGUAAUAUUUAUUAAACUAUUAAGUUGCUUAUUAAAUGCUUCGUUUUAGAACAUUUGUUUAUUGUUAUUACUGUUUAAUUCGUUUAUAUUUUUACUUAUAAUUUCAAAAUCUUCAUGAUCCGGAUUACCGGCAAUAUAUUCCAUGCCGUUUCGAUCAAGUUAAUAGCCCUUUUACUCCGGAAAUUUUGUAAUUUCUGAUUUGCAGGGGAUUACCCAAAGAAAAUCCCAAACAAAAAAAAAAAAUACUGUGGAAUGUUUUUCUUAUGCCCUAUGCGUCCUGUUUUUGUUUUAACUGUCGUGUUAAAGUUAGUUGCUGCUAUUUCCUUUUUAUACCUUGGGGACAACUUUUUUCCAAUUCUCCUAUUCAAUUUUACGUA